RNAcentral lists this ribosomal RNA (460 nucleotides) under uncultured bacterium. RNAcentral's name for it is "partial 16S ribosomal RNA". It matches the Rfam family "Bacterial small subunit ribosomal RNA", at positions 338 to 795 of the family's 1533-position model. The record is from RNAcentral.
CCUACGGGUGGCAGCAGUGAGGAAUAUUGGUCAAUGGGCGCUAGCCUGAACCAGCCAAGUCGCGUGAAGGAUGACUGCCCUAUGGGUUGUAAACCUCUUUUAUCUGGGAAUAAAGUCCAGUACGUAUACCGCUUUGCAUGUACCUGAAGAAUAAGCAUCGGCUAACUCCGUGCCAGCAGCCGCGGUAAUACGGAGGAUCCGAGCGUUAUCCGGAUUUAUUGGGUUUAAAGGGUGCGCAGGCGGGCUGUUCAGUCAGUUGUGAAAGUUUGGGGCUCAACCCCAGCAUUGCUGUUGAUACUGGCAUGCUUGAGUGGGGUAGAGGUAGGCGGAAGGCGUGGUGUAGCGGUGAAAUGCUUAGAUAGCACGCAGAACUCCGAUUGCGAAGGCAGCCUGCCGGCCUGUAACUGACGCUGAUGCACGAAAGUGUGGGUAUCGAACAGGAUUAGAUACCCUGGUAGUC